This is a long non-coding RNA of Hemicordylus capensis (graceful crag lizard), 1461 nucleotides long. RefSeq lists it as uncharacterized. The transcript is spliced from 3 exons. NCBI's taxonomy places the organism in Eukaryota, Metazoa, Chordata, Lepidosauria, Squamata, Cordylidae. The record is from RefSeq and is a predicted model, not a curated record.
UGCUAAGCCCAGGGGAAGAAGCAGGAAUCUACCCGAGGAGGGUGUAUGAGGUGAAGGGAGAGAGACAUUCUGCUUCUCACAAUGUGGAGAAAGGCAGCAAGAGCAGUGUCUACACACGAUCUGAGUUGGUGUAUUAGUAAGAGAGUGUAAGCCACGGUGAGGACUUUUGUUGUUGUUGAAAAGUGCUGUAUAAAUAUUUGGAAGACGAAAACGAAGAAGACGACGAAGAAGAAUGCCAAUAGAGGCCUGGUGCUGACGGCUCUGGAGGCUUCCUCGACAAGGCAGCAAAGGCCUCUUGUAUACGCAGAGCAGCAGGAUGUCAUUGUGCUGCAUCAGCAGGAGGCCUGCUCCACCAGGCGAGCCAAAACAGGACUUCCUCAAUUCCCACCUCUCAGACUGGAAUCCACUUGGGGUUCAGGAGGCCCUGGCUCUGGGUUCCAUUGUGGCUCUGAAGACAUCCCUGAAACAGCAGCUCAUCACACAUGGGCAAAGGCCUCUUGUACAUGUACAGCUUUAAAAUGAAAUUGCUGCACAUCAGGACAAGAAGCCUGCACGAAUGUACUAUGAAGGCCGCUCUAGGAACAAAGCCUUUUGGAAGCCAUUACAGAACCUAUUGAAUUCCAGUCAAGCCCAGAACUUUCCUAGGGGCAAAACCAGAAUUUUCGACCCACUUCCAAUGAAAGUAGAAUUCAGAGACAUCACUAGUCUUAACACCCUCAUUCAGGCCGGAUGUAUCCCAGGCCCUCAGCUAUCAUGCAAGGGGAGCAAGGGAACUGGUGUAGAUUCCUAGAACAAGGCUGAGCCCAUCUCUCACCCCCUGGCUCUCGGCGGCGUCCCCUUGCAGAGCGCUUGCGUUGAUCCAACACACGGAAAGCUUCAGCGGAUUUCUGCAGUUUCCCGACAAAGAAUUCCACAUCAUCAAAGACCUGGUUCAGCAGCUCCUGUCAGGCACAGAGAUACGAGAGAGAGAAAAGCACUGUUCAGACAUUACGUUGUACAAAUGUAAUGAUGCCUGUACCUUCAUACAUGGUUUUGUGUGAAUGAUGGCACGUGUGUUCAUUUUAAAAGUGGACCUGGAUACAGGCCCUUCAAAUCAUGGUGCAGAUAGGAACUGUAGUGCUGUACCUGUGUUCACUGUGUACACUGUACACUCAUUGUACUAGUGCUGCACAUCACAUCAGAAUAGGGCUAAGGCUGCCAAAGGGAACAGAGGACAGGUCUCCUGCAUCUUUAAUACAGUAGAUGCCAGAAGAGGGAAUUUCAACAGGUGCAGCUUAUCUUCUUCCUGCAUUACUAGCUGCACCUGGGAUCUAUCUAUCUAUCUAUCUAUCUAAUUUGUAUACCGCCCCAAACUUUCAUCUCUGAGCAGUUUACAAUAACAUAAACCAGUUAAAAACAUAUACAAAAACUUAAAAACAAUUUAACAAUUUAAAAAUAACCAGAAAUUAAAACUCCAAAAUA